CUUAAAUUGAAGAGUUUGAUCAUGGCUCAGAUUGAACGCUGGCGGCAGGCCUAACACAUGCAAGUCGAGCGGAAACGAGUUAUCAGAACCUUCGGGGGACGAUAA
Molecule: ribosomal RNA, 105 nt
Filed under: Vibrio parahaemolyticus
Lineage: Bacteria; Pseudomonadati; Pseudomonadota; Gammaproteobacteria; Vibrionales; Vibrionaceae
Also listed under: 1 other name
Description: partial 16S ribosomal RNA
Source: RNAcentral